RNAcentral lists this ribosomal RNA (553 nucleotides) under uncultured bacterium. Its description in RNAcentral is "bacterial SSU rRNA". It matches the Rfam family "Bacterial small subunit ribosomal RNA", at positions 777 to 1339 of the family's 1533-position model. The record is from RNAcentral.
AAUAGAUACCCAGGUAGUCCACGCCGUAAACGAUGGAUGCUAGCUAUUGGGGGGAAUCGACCCCCUCCGAAGCGAAGCUAACGCGUUAAGCAUCCCGCCUGAGUAGUACGAGCGCAAGCUUAAAACUCAAAGGAAUUGACGGGGACCCGCACAAGCGGUGGAGCGUGUGGUUUAAUUCGAUGGUAAACGAAGAACCUUACCAAGGUUUGACAUCCCGGUAGCCGUUCUCCGAAAGGAGAAUUUCAUUUAGUUGGACCGGUGACAGGUGAUGCAUGGCCGUCGUCAGCUCGUGUCGUGAGAUGUUGGGUUAAGUCCCGCAACGAGCGCAACCCUUAUGAUUUAGUUGGAUUUUUCUAAACAGACUGCCCUGGUAACAGGGAGGAAGGAGGGGAUGAUGUCAGGUCAGUAUUUCCCUUACACCUUGGGGCGACACACGCGCUACAAUGGCCGGUACAAUGGGCAGCUAAGCCGCGAGGUGGAGCAAAUCCCAUCAAAGCCGGUCCCAGUUCGGAUUGCAGGCUGAAACCCGCUGCGUGAAGUUGGAAUCGCUAGU